CAGUAGCCACGGUAAUACGGAGGGUGCGAGCGUUAAUCGGAAUUACUGGGCGUAAAGCGUGCGUAGGCGGUUCGUUAAGUCCGUUGUGAAAGCCCCGGGCUCAACCUGGGAAUGGCAAUGGAUACUGGCGAGCUAGAGUGUGUCAGAGGAUGGUGGAAUUCCCGGUGUAGCGGUGAAAUGCGUAGAGAUCGGGAGGAACAUCAGUGGCGAAGGCGGCCAUCUGGGACAACACUGACGCUGAGGCACGAAAGCGUGGGGAGCAAACAGGAUUAGAUACCCCUGUAGUCCCUGUCUCUUAUAC
Molecule: ribosomal RNA, 301 nt
Filed under: uncultured bacterium
Lineage: Bacteria
Description: partial 16S ribosomal RNA
Rfam family: Bacterial small subunit ribosomal RNA
Source: RNAcentral